This 2259-nucleotide long non-coding RNA is filed under the name Betta splendens (Siamese fighting fish). Its description in RNAcentral is "lncRNA (ENSBSLG00000001073.1)". The record is from RNAcentral. Lineage: Eukaryota; Metazoa; Chordata; Actinopteri; Anabantiformes; Osphronemidae.
AUGACGGGCGCGACCUCCUCCUGGAGGCGCGCAGGAGCUGCGGCUGGCGCGACCUCCUCCUGGAGGCGCGCAGGAACUGCGGCUGGCGCGACCUCCUCCUGGAGGCGCGCAGGAACUGCGGCUGGCGCGACCUCCUCCUGGAGGCGCGCAGGAACUGCGGCUGGCGCGACCUCCUCCUGGAGGCGCGCAGGAACUGCGGCUGGCGCGACCUCCUCCUGGAGGCGCGCAGGAACUGCGGCUGGCGCGACCUCCUCCUGGAGGCGCGCAGGAACUGCGGCUGGCGCGACCUCCUCCUGGAGGCGCGCAGGAACUGCGGCUGGCGCGACCUCCUCCUGGAGGCGCGCAGGAACUGCGGCUGGCGCGACCUCCUCCUGGAGGCGCGCAGGAACUGCGGCUGGCGCGACCUCCUCCUGGAGGCGCGCAGGAACUGCGGCUGGCGCGACCUCCUCCUGGAGGCGCGCAGGAACUGCGGCUGGCGCGACCUCCUCCUGGAGGCGCGCAGGAACUGCGGCUGGCGCGACCUCCUCCUGGAGGCGCGCAGGAACUGCGGCUGGCGCGACCUCCUCCUGGAGGCGCGCAGGAACUGCGGCUGGCGCGACCUCCUCCUGGAGGCGCGCAGGAACUGCGGCUGGCGCGACCUCCUCCUGGAGGCGCGCAGGAACUGCGGCUGGCGCGACCUCCUCCUGGAGGCGCGCAGGAACUGCGGCUGGCGCGACCUCCUCCUGGAGGCGCGCAGGAACUGCGGCUGGCGCGACCUCCUCCUGGAGGCGCGCAGGAACUGCGGCUGACGCGACCUCCUCCUGGAGGCGCGCAGGAACUGCGGCUGACGCGACCUCCUCCUGGAGGCGCGCAGGAACUGCGGCUGACGCGACCUCCUCCUGGAGGCGCGCAGGAACUGCGGCUGACGCGACCUCCUCCUGGAGGUGCGCAGGAACUGCGGCUGACGCGACCUCCUCCUGGAGGUGCGCAGGAACUGCGGCUGACGCGACCUCCUCCUGGAGGUGCGCAGGAACUACGGCUAGCGCGACCUCCUCCUGGAGGUGCGCAGGAACUGCAGGUGCUACCUCCUCCUGGAGGUGCGCAGGAACUGCAGGUGCUACCUCCUCCUGGAGGCCGGCGGGCGCUGCAGCUCCAAGGGUGACGGGGACUGGAACGACCGCUACAGGGCCGACGGGAACGGGGAAUGGAACGACCGCUACAGGGCCGACAGGAACGGGGUCAGAGACAGGGGUGACCUCUACUUGGCCUACGGGAACGCCCUCAACUUGGCCUACGGGAACGCCCUCAACUUGGCCUACGGGAACGCCCUCUACUUGGCCUACGGGAACGCCCUCUACUUGGCCUACGGGAACGCCCUCUACUUGGCCUACGGGAACGCCCUCAACUUGGUCGACAGGGACAGGAGCUGGAACGACCUCAACUUGGUCGACAGGGACAGGAACUGGAACGACCUCAACUUGGUCGACAGGGACAGGAACUGGAACGACCUCAACAUGGCCGACAGGAACAGGAACUGGAACGACCUCAACUUGGUCGACAGGGACAGGAACUGGAACGACCUCAACAUGGCCGACAGGAACAGGAACUGGAACGACCUCAACUUGGUCGACAGGGACAGGAACUGGAACGACCUCAACUUGGUCGACAGGGACAGGAACUGGAACGACCUCAACUUGGUCGACAGGGACAGGAACUGGAACGACCUCAACAUGGCCGACAGGAACUGGAACGACCUCAACAUGGCCGACAGGAACUGGAACGACCUCAACAUGGCCGACAGGAACUGGAACGACCUCAACAUGGCCGACAGGAACUGGAACGACCGCAACAUGGCCGACAGGAACUGGAACGACCUCAACAUGGCCGACAGGAACUGGAACGGCCUCUGCUUGGCCGACAGAAACUGGAACGACCUCAACAUGGCCGACAGGAACUGGAACGACCUCAACAUGGCCGACAGGAACUGGAACGGCCUCUACAGGGCCGACAGGAACAGGAACGGCCUCAAUAUGGCCGACGGGAACAGGAACGGCGUCCUCCUCUGAGGAGCCGACAGGAACUGGAACUAGAACGGCCUCAAUAUGGCCGACGGGAACAGGAACGGCGUCCUCCUCUGAGGAGCCGACAGGAACUAGAACGGCGUCCUCCUCUGAGGAGCCGACAGGAACUAGAACGGCCGCAACAUGGCCGACAGGAGCUGGAACGGCCGCAACAUGGCCGACAGGGACUGGAACGGCGUCAACUCCGGAGCUGGCAUGA